CGGGCGGAAGCAGGAAGCGGCGGACCGGGAUCACGCCCGCGGCUGUGUGGCUGUGGGGUCAUGGCGGAGAAGUUCGACCACCUGGAGGAGCACCUGGAGAAGUUCGUGGAGAACAUCCGGCAGCUCGGCAUCAUCGUCAGCGACUUCCAGCCCAGCAGUCAGGCCGGGCUUAACCAGAAGCUGAAUUUUAUCGUUACGGGCUUACAGGAUAUUGAUAAGUGCAGACAGCAACUUCAUGAUAUUACUGUACCUUUAGAAGUUUUUGAAUAUAUAGAUCAAGGUCGAAACCCCCAACUCUACACCAAAGAGUGCCUGGAGAGGGCUUUGGCUAAAAAUGAGCAAGUUAAAGGCAAGAUUGACACAAUGAAGUGGUGUCUGCAGCUUCUGACUCCCGUCUCCUGCGUACCGUAUCCCAGUCACGCAGUUCUCCGCAGAGAACUCACUCUUUGUGUUUCUUUACUUUGAUGAGAUCUAAAAAACUCUAUGCAUCUUGAACAUGAAAUAUGUACAGAUCUUCCUCAACUUAACGAUGAGGUUACGUCCCAAUAAACCCAUUGUUGAAAAUAGUGUAAGUCAAAAAUGCAUUUAAUACACCUAACCUACCGAACCUCCGAGCUUAGCCCACCCCACCUUAACAUGCUCGGAACAUUACCCUACAGUCGGGUGAAAUCGUCUCCCACAAAGCCUAUUUUAUAAUGAAGUGUUGAGCGUCUGAUGUGAUGUAUUGAAUACUGUAGUGAAAGUGAGAAACAGUGGUUGUCUGGGUACAGAAUGGUUGUCAGUGGGUCAGUCGUUCACCUGGCGAUGGUGGGGCUGACUGGGAGCUGCGCUGCGCUCGCUGACACUGCAGCGUCACCAAGGAGGAUCACACCACAUAUCAGUAGCCUGGGGAAGAUCAAAAUUGAAAAUUGAAAGUGUGCUUUCUACUGAAUCCAUUUUGCUUUCGCACCAUCGUAGUAUUCAAAAAUUGUAAGUUGACCCAUUGUAAGUCUGGGACUGUCUGCAGUCUUUUUUCUUACUUAAAUUAAUUCAAAUAUGGCUCAGAUUGGAGUGUGUGUGGUUUUCCCUUAACUGGCUGGUCCCAUCCCUUUAACGGCCUCCCACUUCUGUUGGCCUCGUGCAAGGAGCUUUCCUGCCCCUCUGCCCCUCUUCUUCAUACCAGAGCCCACCCUGGCCUUGUUUCCAUUUCUGGAAUUUACCUAACCCCUCUCCCUGUUUUCCCUAUGCUGUUUCCUCUCUCUGCACAUGCACACUGACAACGCUUUGGGGUCCGUGGAUCUCACCUCCUCAAGGAGGCCUCGAGGACAAGCCUUUCCUCAGCUGCUUCCUGGAGAGCACUGAUGAGGAUUCGCUUUUUUCUAUUUGUUCUCUCCCCUCCACUGCAGCUGAAGCUCCCAGAUCUCAGGGGGCAUGAGUGUCUGUGCCUUCUGAUGCCCAGCACCCACAGGUGUGCCCAGUCACUGUCUGAUGUGUGCAGGGAUGGCCACACAGUGAUCUCUUAGGGUGCUCUGGCCGAGUGCAAGGAGUGAGGGGAGACGCUCUGUCAGAACGAUAGUGAUGUGCCAGUCACAUGCUGCCCUGGGGACGUAGGGCUUCCCGGCGUUCCUCCCAGGUGAUUGCACUGAGCGGGUUCUGGAAGUGGCUGUUGCUGCAAUUGUUGGUGUGUGGCCACGGCUUCAUUUCUGGUUUGUGAGUUUGGGAUUGAGUUACUGGUGAACUCAGCGUCACCCUUAGGACAUAACACAGCAUUUAAUCAAUAGCAAGCCGUGAUUGUUUUGAGUGCUCUGUGAGUGAGUUGUACUGUCCGGCGGAAAUCCCCUGCUCUGUGGACAGGGGCGUGGUUCAUGCUUGAUGUGCUCCCGUCUGUCCCCCUUCUCUUCGCCUCCAGAGCCUUGGGCGGCGCAGAGGUUUCCUGUUGGCAGUAAUGUCAGCAACCGUGCAGUCAUCUUCAGUUUGCUUGUGUUGCUGCUUGGUCAUUUCUCUCAUCUAAGAUCUGUGAAAUCUCAUGCCACAGUUCCGUCGCCCUUGUCUGCCCUGUGGGCUGUGUAUUUGAAUUUCCAAAGUUAUAUCUUAAAUAUUUACUGUAAUGCAGGGCUGCAGUUCUCCUUUGAGAGUGUGCUUUAGCUUCUAAAUUUAAAAGCCUGUUGAUUCAAGAACUUUCUAAAGUGUUUCCCGAAGACAUGGCCAAGUAUCGAAGCAUCCGAGGGGAGGACCACCCCCCUUCCUAACUCCGUCCUCCCUCUGUCUGAAGAUCCUCCUUGUCCUGUGGGUGUUGCUGUGACCUUCAGGCAGCCUGUGACUUUGAGUGGCAGCAGUGCCGCUGUUCUGGGCCUGUCCUCCAGCCACCCUGUCCACGUCAUUGGGCUUGGGGGAGGGCGGGGCCUGGAGGGUUUGUGGAGCUGUGCCACCAGCUGCCUCUCUGUCCCUGACGUGCAUCUGUCUGGUCCUCAAGCUUUCAGGCGGCUAGUGAUCGCACACCUUUGAGUGCGAUGCAUUUGAUGCUCCAUGGCACAGUAGUCUUGGAAGUAUUAACUGUGGUAGGUAAAUUGAAGCUGUUAAAAAUUCUCCCUAAUGGUUUUCUUUUUAUAUGCUCUUUCUGUUCCAUUUUAUUAUGAUGUCAAAGAAAGCUAAAGAAAAGAGAAAAAAAUUAAAAAGAAAAAUUGGUUUAAUAUGAGAAUUACUUGAAAUUGGUUUUAUAUUUUCGAGUACAGUGCGUAAGCAAUGCGUUUACUGCAACUGUGCUCACAUAGGUUUCAGUUAGGCCUAAACGUGUAAUAAAGUCUAAGUGUUUAUGACU
RNA transcript from Equus quagga, 2797 nucleotides. It is a transcript of the gene named mediator complex subunit 10, with no coding region annotated. Lineage: Eukaryota; Metazoa; Chordata; Mammalia; Perissodactyla; Equidae. The transcript has 5 exons. The record is from RefSeq and is a predicted model, not a curated record.